UACGUAGGGUGCAAGCGUUGUCCGGAAUUAUUGGGCUUAAAGAGCUCGUAGGCGGUUUGUCGCGUCGGCUGUGAAAACUCGGGGCUCAACCCCGAGCCUGCAGUCGAUACGGGCAAACUAGAGUGUGGUAGGGGAGACUGGAAUUCCUGGUGUAGCGGUGAAAUGCGUUGAGAUCGUGAGGAACGCCCGCGGCGAAAGCGAGCGCCUGGACCCUUUCUGACGCUGAGACGCGAAAGCCAGGGGAGCGAACGGG
RNAcentral lists this ribosomal RNA (253 nucleotides) under uncultured bacterium. RNAcentral's name for it is "partial 16S ribosomal RNA". It matches the Rfam family "Bacterial small subunit ribosomal RNA", at positions 524 to 776 of the family's 1533-position model. The record is from RNAcentral.